Molecule: transfer RNA, 25 nt
Filed under: Abelmoschus esculentus (okra)
Lineage: Eukaryota; Viridiplantae; Streptophyta; Magnoliopsida; Malvales; Malvaceae
Description: partial tRNA-Leu
Source: RNAcentral
CGAAAUUGGUAGACGCUGCGGACUU